GCGUUGUCCGGAAUUAUUGGGCGUAAAGGGCGUGUAGGCGGACUAUCAAGUCUGAGGUGAAAUAACCCGGCUUAACCGGGGAAGGUCGUCAGAAACUGGUAGACUAGAGUGCAGGAGAGGAAAGCGGAAUUCCCGGUGUAGUGGUGAAAUGCGUAGAUAUCGGGAGGAACACCAGAGGCGAAAGCGGCUUUCUGGCCUGCAACUGACGCUGAGGCGCGAAGGCUAG
Molecule: ribosomal RNA, 226 nt
Filed under: uncultured bacterium
Lineage: Bacteria
Description: partial 16S ribosomal RNA
Rfam family: Bacterial small subunit ribosomal RNA
Source: RNAcentral